AUGAGCACAUAAAGAAGUAAGUUGAUCUGAUUGCAUGCUACUCCCAGGGAAGCAGGAGUCUUCUUUCAAGGCAACGGUUGAAGGCAUCCCUGUGCGUCUGGGCAGAUGUCCCUCUCAUUUGGGCCUGACUGGAAAGGAAGUGGGAACAUCUGGGGAGAAGGACGGGCUCGAUGGAAGACAAAAACAACAAGAGGAGGAAGAGAGCAGUCAGGAGGAGGAGAGAAACUUUCCUGGAACAGUGGAGAUAGACUGAAACAGCAAAGACUUGCAGUGAGUUGAUACAUCUGAAGACACAGCAAGCUUAGACCUACCGUUCCUCGCAAGACCUCUGAUCUAAAUGUAGGAUUGUCGACUAUUUCCAACUAAGGUGGUGAUUUUGGAGAGACAUGGUUGUGGCCUGACGACAGCAAUGAACUCCUGCUUCCUCAAGCUGGGUCAUCAUCCACCAGCAACAGAGCAUCGGCCACUAGAGGGUAGUAUUUAACUACAAGGAGCAGCAUUCAAUUACCAUGACCACGUUUACCACCAUGGUGGUGUUGAAGCAUACAAGACACACUGAUCUCAACCACCUGUAGCGGGAAGGAGAAUGACGAAAUAACAGCCGGUCCAUAUUUGAAGAAAAGCUCUUUUUUCCUCUCUUCUUUACAUGAACUGUUUAUGCUGUCAUUGACUCGCUCCGGUUGUCCCCUUGGUAAACUCUCCUGUCAGCACUGCUCGUCCAUGUGCCUUUGUGUAUUUCCGGCUUCAGUCACAAGCACUGUCUGAGCAAAGGAUUUAAUUGGCCGAGUAGCAUCACGUGUGGCGAUCUCAAGGUCAAGAAAAGUUGCACUGUUUCAAAUACACUCCUGUUUGUAAGCAU
Long non-coding RNA from Cheilinus undulatus (humphead wrasse), 859 nucleotides. RefSeq lists it as uncharacterized. The record is from RefSeq and is a predicted model, not a curated record. NCBI's taxonomy places the organism in Eukaryota, Metazoa, Chordata, Actinopteri, Labriformes, Labridae. The transcript has 6 exons.